CCCCUAGAUGUUCUGGGCCGCACGCGCGCUACACUGAACAGUUCAACAAGUCUUAACCUUGGCCGAUAGGUCUGGGUAAUCUUUGAACGCUGUUCGUGAUUGGGAUAGACCUUUGCAAUUAUGGGUCUUCAACGAGGAAUUCCUAGUAAACGCAAGUCAUCAGCUUGCAUUGAUUAUGUCCCUGCCCUUUGUACACACCGCCCGUCGCACCUACCGAUUGAAUGGUCCGGUGAAAUCUCGGGACGGCGGCUUGGUCGCUUGCGUCCGACUGCUGAAACUUGAUUAAACCAUNUNAUUUAGNGGAAGGUGAANUCGUANCA
Molecule: ribosomal RNA, 320 nt
Filed under: uncultured eukaryote
Lineage: Eukaryota
Description: partial 18S ribosomal RNA
Rfam family: Eukaryotic small subunit ribosomal RNA
Source: RNAcentral